AUGAGAGGAAGAAGAAGAGUGGCGCUGCGAGGAGGCGGCCGUGGCGCGCGGCGGCGUCCGCGGCGGACGCGGCGUGCGCGGCCGACAUGGAGGCAUCGGCUGUGGCGCGCGGUGAGCGCGUGGCGAAGGCGACGCGCGACGAGUCCGCGGCUGUGCGGUGUGAUGUCGUGCGCGCGAAGAGCACGGUGGUCGCGGAGAGGAGGAGGUCGCGGAGGACCUGCAUGGUGGCACAGAGGCUGCGGUGGCGCGGUGUGGCGGCAUGGAGGUGCUGCGCUGCGGUUGAUGCCGCAGCGGUGCAGGGCAAUAAGCCGUGGCGGCGAGCCGGGCGCGACCGGUGCGUGUUAUGGGUGCACACUGGACGCGUCGGGCGCGUCAGGACCGCGGGCGCGCGUACGAGCGAGCGGUUGA
RNAcentral lists this ribosomal RNA (408 nucleotides) under Triticum aestivum (bread wheat). Its description in RNAcentral is "partial small subunit ribosomal RNA". The record is from RNAcentral. Lineage: Eukaryota; Viridiplantae; Streptophyta; Magnoliopsida; Poales; Poaceae.